RNAcentral lists this ribosomal RNA (435 nucleotides) under uncultured bacterium. Its description in RNAcentral is "partial 16S ribosomal RNA". It matches the Rfam family "Bacterial small subunit ribosomal RNA", at positions 29 to 507 of the family's 1533-position model. The record is from RNAcentral.
AGCGAACGCUGGCGGCAGGCUUAACACAUGCAAGUCGAGCGGGCACUUUCGGGUGUCAGCGGCGGACGGGUGAGUAACGCGUGGGAACGUGCCCUCUGGUUCGGAAUAACUCAGGGAAACUUGAGCUAAUACCGGAUACGCCCUUUUGGGGAAAGGCUUGCUGCCGGAGGAUCGGCCCGCGUCUGAUUAGCUAGUUGGUGAGGUAACGGCUCACCAAGGCGACGAUCAGUAGCUGGUCUGAGAGGAUGAUCAGCCACACUGGGACUGAGACACGGCCCAGACUCCUACGGGAGGCAGCAGUGGGGAAUAUUGGGCAAUGGGCGCAAGCCUGAUCCAGCCAUGCCGCGUGAGUGAUGAAGGCCUUAGGGUUGUAAAGCUCUUUUAUCCGGGACGAUAAUGACGGUACCGGAGGAAAAAGCCCCGGCUAACUUCGUG